RNAcentral lists this unclassified non-coding RNA (142 nucleotides) under uncultured fungus. Its description in RNAcentral is "sequence contains ITS1, 5.8S rRNA gene". Lineage: Eukaryota; Fungi. The record is from RNAcentral. RNAcentral also lists the same sequence under 1 other name.
CCGAGUCUUUACAACUCAUAACCCUUUGUGAACCAUUAUACCUAGUUGCUUCGGCGGCGCGCCUCCGGGCGUGCCCGCCGGCCAAUUAUAGUCUCUUAGUUGUGAAUCGACGUUACAUCUGAGUGUUCUAAGCGAACUGUUA